GACGAACGCUGGCGGCGGGCUUAACACAGGCAGGUCGAGCGAUGAAACGUUAACAGAGCCCUUCGGGUGAGAGCAGAGGGGGCUUAGGUGCGGACGUGGGAUCAACUCGUGAGUAACCUGCCUUAGACAUGGCAACAUCCACGAGAAGCCAGGAUUAAUACCAGAUAACGCCCUAAAGACACAUGACAUAACGACCAACACUCCGGAGGUCUAGGAGGGACUCGCGUCCCAUUAGCUAGCUGAUAGGUUAAAAACCUACCACGGCGACGGUGGGUAGCCGGGCUGCGAGGGGGAACGGCCACAUUGGAAGUGAGAAACGGUCCAAACUCCUACGGGAGGCAGCAGUGGGGAAUAUUGCACCAUGGAGGGAACUCUGAUGCAGCGACGCCGCGUGAACGAAGAAGGCUUUCGAGUCGUAAAGUUCUUUUAUAUGGGAAGAUAAUGACGGUACCAUAAGAAAAAGCCCCGGCUAACUACGUG
This 480-nucleotide ribosomal RNA is filed under the name uncultured bacterium. RNAcentral's name for it is "partial 16S ribosomal RNA". It matches the Rfam family "Bacterial small subunit ribosomal RNA", at positions 28 to 507 of the family's 1533-position model. The record is from RNAcentral.